This is a long non-coding RNA of Cyprinus carpio (common carp), 1772 nucleotides long. Lineage: Eukaryota; Metazoa; Chordata; Actinopteri; Cypriniformes; Cyprinidae. The record is from Ensembl.
UAUGUCAAGAUUUUAUAAUAGGAAAACAACACUUCUAAAAUGCAGACACCAAAACAAGCUGCUUUCAAUGUGCUUUUUGCCCUCUAUCAAGGCUUCAUCAAUCGGAACCUGAUCAUUUUUCUUUAACUUUUUGAGGGUCAGAAAAAUUCAGGUCAUUUUAAUGUGUAUCAUAUUUUUAUGUGAAUUAAACCCUUUAUUUCACAAAUUUUUAAAAUCAUAUUUAUAUUGUUUAGGUGUAUAGAACUUUUUUUUUAUCAACUGGUAUUACAUUUCUCUGACCUUACUGUUGUUUUCAUUGUGUUUUUCUUAGAUUUUUUAAAACAGCUUGUAGUCAAUCUCAUCUUUUGCAGUUAUCUUUUGUUCCCUCUGUAUGGAGAAUUUCAUUCCCCUGGCCAUCAGUCAGUAUCAUACCAUCUUCUGAUCCAAUAGCAUCUUGGACUUUUGCCAAGAUAGCAGGAACUGAUGCCUCAUGUUCAUGAAAACGGAUCGCUACAGUCUUCUGGGGUCUUCACAGAUCAGCAAGAAAAACAUUCCUUGAAAUGAAAAUAUGUUUAGUUAAAUAUCCAAAGACCACCCCAUCUUCCUAUAACCCAGAUCUAGGGAGAGUGCAAUGCCAACAUUCAGUGUAGUCACAGUAUAUCUCUGGCUUCAAUCACUCAGGCAGACAUACAAGUUGUUAAAAUAAACCUUGCUAUUAUUAGAGAACUGACAGUGAACUGAUAACAUAUGCCAUUUGCUAAGAUCUUCAAUUUUUCGUUAAAACUCAAAAGCAUCCACCAAAACUGUCAUAUAAUACUAUUGUUCCCAUGGGCGAAACGUUUGUUGAACUCACCGUUGAAAAGGUUUUGACACACUGGCCCGGGGCCACACACUGGGUCGCUGAAAUGCAAAGCACACAGACCCGGAUCCAGCAGUGGAUCGAACACUUGAGUCCGGUGACUGCACCUCGGCAGAAUCUCCGUCAACUUCGUAGUGUCCUCUUGCAGCAAGAUCGAGACUACUAAAAAACCCACUCUCUCCAGCGAAGAUAGCGAUGUUGCUGUCAUCUGUGAUGUAAACACUGCAACUACACACCUUAAAUUAAAAUUGAGAGUUGUCUACAAGAUUAUAUAGUUUUGCUUAUUAUGUCAUUGUGCUAAAUCGUUAAAGAAUUAUUGAAGAUUUCCGAGGCUGAAUCAAAUGUCGAACCAACUUUAUAUCGGUCAAAUUCGGCCCUGCAGGUUCACUGUCCUGCAGUUUAGACCCACCCGUGAUAGACCUCGGCUGCCUGUAGCACUCCAGUAAUCAUGAAGACAGAGAUUAACUGCUAAGGUGUGCUUGAUGAGGGAUGCAGCUGAACUCUGCAGGACAUUGGCCUGGAUAAAGAGAGUCUGCCCAUCACUGCAGUGGCAUAUGAUAGAGAAAUAUAUAUUCUUCAUAUAAUUCAUAUAUUACAUCUUGAACAAUCGGGUCCCACCUAUUUAUUAUUAUUAUUACUACUAACGUUACUACUAUUAUUUGUGUUGCGUCUUGCGCACAGGCAUCACGACGGCCGCCAUCUUAGGGGUCCUCGCUAGGUGGGACCCGAUUGUUCAAGAUGCAUUUAAAGUGAAGAUACGACUCUUUUCUCAUGUUUAUCUUUUAUUUAACAUAAACAAACACAUAUACUUGUAUAAUAGCGUUCAGUAAGUNNNNNNNNNNNNNNNNNNNNNNNNNNNNNNNNNNNNNNNNNNNNNNNNNNNNNNNNNNNNNNNNNNNNNNNNNNNNNNNNNNNNNAUUAAUGACAAAAUUUU